This 147-nucleotide ribosomal RNA is filed under the name uncultured bacterium. RNAcentral describes it as "partial 16S ribosomal RNA". It matches the Rfam family "Bacterial small subunit ribosomal RNA", at positions 338 to 502 of the family's 1533-position model. The record is from RNAcentral.
CCUACGGGAGGCAGCAGUGNGGAAUAUUGCACAAUGGAGGAAACUCUGAUGCAGCAACGCCGCGUGGAGGAUGACGCAUUUCGGUGUGUAAACUCCUUUUAUUAGGGAAGAUAAUGACGGUACCUAAUGAAUAAGCACCGGCUAACU